GAACGGGUGAGUAACACGUGGGUGAUCUGCCCUGCACUUUGGGAUAAGCCUGGGAAACUGGGUCUAAUACCGAAUAUGACCACGCUCUUCAUGGGGUGUGGUGGAAAGCUUUUGCGGUGUGGGAUGGGCCCGCGGCCUAUCAGCUUGUUGGUGGGGUAAUGGCCUACCAAGGCGACGACGGGUAGCCGGCCUGAGAGGGUGACCGGCCACACUGGGACUGAGAUACGGCCCAGACUCCUACGGGAGGCAGCAGUGGGGAAUAUUGCACAAUGGGCGCAAGCCUGAUGCAGCGACGCCGCGUGAGGGAUGACGGCCUUCGGGUUGUAAACCUCUUUCACCAGGGACGAAGCGCAAGUGACGGUACCUGGAGAAGAAGCACCGGCCAACUACGUGCCAGCAGCCGCGGUAAUACGUAGGGUGCGAGCGUUGUCCGGAAUUACUGGGCGUAAAGAGCUCGUAGGUGGUUUGUCGCGUUGUUCGUGAAAACUCACAGCUUAACUGUGGGCGUGCGGGCGAUAC
Molecule: ribosomal RNA, 519 nt
Filed under: uncultured bacterium
Lineage: Bacteria
Description: bacterial SSU rRNA
Rfam family: Bacterial small subunit ribosomal RNA
Source: RNAcentral